RNAcentral lists this ribosomal RNA (253 nucleotides) under uncultured bacterium. Its description in RNAcentral is "partial 16S ribosomal RNA". It matches the Rfam family "Bacterial small subunit ribosomal RNA", at positions 524 to 776 of the family's 1533-position model. The record is from RNAcentral.
UACGGAGGAUGCAAGCGUUGUUCGGAAUCACUGGGCUUAAAGAGCGUGUAGGCGGGAUAUUUGGUGUCGUGUGAAAUCCCCGGUCUCAACCCGGGAACUGCGCGGCAUACCGGUAUUCUUGAGGCAGGCAGAGGUGACUGGAACGACGGGUGGAGCGGUGAAAUGCGUAGAUAUCCGUUGGAACGCCGGCGACGAAGGUGAGUCACUGGGCCUGUCCUGACGCUGAGACGCGAAAGCGUGGGUAGCAAACAGG